GAAAGCGAUUUUAUUCUAUUUUGCAAAAAUAGAUUUGAUUCUGUUAGGAAUCCGCUUUCU
Molecule: transfer RNA, 60 nt
Filed under: Macrogyrodactylus karibae
Lineage: Eukaryota; Metazoa; Platyhelminthes; Monogenea; Gyrodactylidea; Gyrodactylidae
Description: tRNA-Cys
Source: RNAcentral